UACAGAGGGUGCAAGCGUUAAUCGGAAUUACUGGGCGUAAAGCGUGUGUAGGUGGUUUUCUAAGUCAGGUGUGAAAUCCCCGGGCUCAACCUGGGAAUUGCAUUUGAUACUGGAAGACUCGAGUGUGGUAGAGGAUGGUGGAAUUCCCGGUGUAGCGGUGAAAUGCGUAGAUAUCGGGAGGAACAUCAGUGGCGAAGGCGGCCAUCUGGACCAACACUGACACUGAGACACGAAAGCGUGGGGAGCAAACAGG
This 253-nucleotide ribosomal RNA is filed under the name uncultured bacterium. RNAcentral describes it as "partial 16S ribosomal RNA". It matches the Rfam family "Bacterial small subunit ribosomal RNA", at positions 524 to 776 of the family's 1533-position model. The record is from RNAcentral.